AUCACAUCUAACACUUCUACUUCCAGGGUACUGGACGUCAUACUGCUGCAGGUGGGCAGGAGGUCGACUAUCAUGACUGGAACGUCUCAAACCUUCAGUUAAUGGCUGCUGUGAAUCCAUGAUGCUAACACUGCUCCGGCUCGAAGGACCAUGUUAUGAAGGACAGAAGGCUCAGAGUUUAAGUCAUCAUCAUCAUGGGCUCAUCCGAUUAGAAUGAGAAUAAGCAGUGAUCAAUCAUUCACAGGGUUCUCCUUUUAUUCUCAGAAUCAAUAAGGAAAGACACAAAUGGACUGCUAAUGUUCCGCUGCCGCCCCAUGUGGGAGUAAAGAAAGAGUGAGCUGUAGAAGCCAAGGCCACGUUGAAGCAGCUGAAACAACUAUUCACCGUUGCACCCAUUUUGGUUCAUCCUGACACAAAGAAAUAGUUUACUGUCUAGGUAGACACAUCUGAUUCUGGGAUGGGGGCAGUUCUCAUCCAGUGUUCUGGCCUACAUGUUUCCAGAAACAUAAAAUGUUGCCAGUCCCCGCCAGUUCUCCACCAAUGCUGAACAAUGGGAACCAGGAAACAUCUUACCACCCUAAUGCAAAAGGGGCUCCUUGAACUGGGACCUAGAAUAAACCAGCCACCAAGCCCUUCGAGACGAUCCGGAGCUCGGUGGGCCAGUACCAGGUACUGAGACAGAGUCUAAGUGAGUCUGUCAUAAGCAUUCAGCUGUUAAACUCAAAUUGCCCCCAUCUAUGCACAUCCACCCUACAUUCCAUGUUUCCCAGAUUCCCAUGUUUCAAAUCAGCAACAGUAAUAAAUAUAGAUU
Molecule: long non-coding RNA, 811 nt
Organism: Oreochromis aureus
Lineage: Eukaryota; Metazoa; Chordata; Actinopteri; Cichliformes; Cichlidae
Exons: 3
Source: RefSeq, a predicted model, not a curated record